CCCUAUUAUAAUUAAUGUAUAUAUAACUUUUAGUAGUAUAUGAUUUGAACAGGAAACUUAAAGAAUUUGGCGGUUUAUAUUCUAAUUAGAGGAAUAUGUUUUUUAUUGAUAAUCCACAUAAAUCUUACUUAAUUUUAUUUAUUUUGUAUAUCUCCGUCUUAAAAAAAUUUUUUGAAAUAUUUUUUGUAUUUUAUAGUUUUGAAAAAAGUCAGGUCAAGGUGCAGAUUAUAAUUAAGUUAAAAUGUAUUACAAUAAAUUUAUUUUUGGAUUAUAAGUUAAUUUUUAUAAGAAAUUGGAUUUAUAAGUAAAUUUUUUUGAAUCAUAAUGAAUUGAAUCUUGUUAAUAUAUAUGUACACAUC
Molecule: ribosomal RNA, 359 nt
Filed under: Sigmatoneura kolbei
Lineage: Eukaryota; Metazoa; Arthropoda; Insecta; Psocodea; Psocidae
Description: partial 12S ribosomal RNA
Source: RNAcentral